RNAcentral lists this ribosomal RNA (301 nucleotides) under uncultured bacterium. Its description in RNAcentral is "partial 16S ribosomal RNA". It matches the Rfam family "Bacterial small subunit ribosomal RNA", at positions 509 to 807 of the family's 1533-position model. The record is from RNAcentral.
CAGUCGCCGCGGUAAUACGAAGGGUGCAAGCGUUACUCGGAAUUACUGGGCGUAAAGCGUGCGUAGGUGGUGGUUUAAGUCCGUUGUGAAAGCCCUGGGCUCAACCUGGGAAUUGCAGUGGAUACUGGGUCACUAGAGUGUGGUAGAGGAUAGUGGAAUUUCCGGUGUAGCAGUGAAAUGCGUAGAGAUCGGAAGGAACAUCUGUGGCGAAGGCGACUAUCUGGGCCAACACUGACACUGAGGCACGAAAGCGUGGGGAGCAAACAGGAUUAGAUACCCGCGUAGUCCCUGUCUCUUAUAC